AACGAACGCUGGCGGCAGGCUUAACACAUGCAAGUCGAACGCCCCGCAAGGGGAGUGGCAGACGGAUGAGUAACGCGUGGGAAUCUACCCAAUUCUACGGAACAACUGAGGGAAACUUCAGCUAAUACCGUAUACGCCCUACGGGGGAGAGAUUUAUCGGAAUUGGAUGAGCCCGCGUUGGAUUAGCUAGUUGGUGGGGUAAUGGCCUACCAAGGCGACGAUCCAUAGCUGGUCUGAGAGGAUGAUCAGCCACACUGGGACUGAGACACGGCCCAGACUCCUACGGGAGGCAGCAGUGGGGAAUAUUGGACAAUGGGCGAAAGCCUGAUCCAGCCAUGCCGCGUGAGUGAUGAAGGCCUUAGGGUUGUAAAGCUCUUUCAGUGGGGAAGAUAAUGACGGUACCCACAGAAGAAGCCCCGGCUAACUUCGUGCCAGCCGCCGCUGUAA
Molecule: ribosomal RNA, 447 nt
Filed under: uncultured bacterium
Lineage: Bacteria
Description: partial 16S ribosomal RNA
Rfam family: Bacterial small subunit ribosomal RNA
Source: RNAcentral